CGAACGCUGGCGGCGUGCUUAACACAUGCAAGUCGAACGCGAAAGGGACUUCGGUCCUGAGUAAAGUGGCGCACGGGUGAGUAACGCGUAGAUAACCUGUCUUCAUGUCUGGCAUAAUACGCCGAAAGGGGUACUAAUACCGGAUAUUCUUGCUUUUCAUAAGUUAUGCAAGCAAAGGUGGCCUCUGCAUAUGCUACUGCAUGAAGAGGGGUCUGCGUACCAUUAGCUAGUAGGUGGGGUAAUGGCCUACCUAGGCGACGAUGGUUAGCGGGUCUGAGAGGAUGAUCCGCCACACUGGCACUGGAACACGGGCCAGACUCCUACGGGAGGCAGCAGUGAGGAAUAUUGCGCAAUGGGGGAAACCCUGACGCAGCGACGCCGCGUGAGUGAGGAAGGCCUUCGGGUCGUAAAGCUCUGUCAAGAGGAAAGAAGUGUACAAUGGCUAAUACCUGUUGUAUUUGACGGUACCUCUAAAGGAAGCACCGGCUAACUCCGUGCCAGCAGCCGCGGUAAUA
This 515-nucleotide ribosomal RNA is filed under the name Desulfobulbus sp. TERI GP5. RNAcentral's name for it is "bacterial SSU rRNA". It matches the Rfam family "Bacterial small subunit ribosomal RNA", at positions 30 to 525 of the family's 1533-position model. The record is from RNAcentral. Lineage: Bacteria; Pseudomonadati; Thermodesulfobacteriota; Desulfobulbia; Desulfobulbales; Desulfobulbaceae.